This 253-nucleotide ribosomal RNA is filed under the name uncultured prokaryote. RNAcentral describes it as "partial 16S ribosomal RNA". It matches the Rfam family "Bacterial small subunit ribosomal RNA", at positions 524 to 776 of the family's 1533-position model. The record is from RNAcentral.
UACGGGGGGUGCGAGCGUUGUCCGGAAUCACUGGGCGUAAAGGGCGCGUAGGUGGUUUGAUAAGGCUGUGGUGAAAGCCCGGGGCUCAACCCCGGGUCUGCCGUGGCGACUGUCAGACUUGAGGGCUCGAGAGGCAGACGGAAUUCCGGGUGUAGCGGUGGAAUGCGUAGAGAUCCGGAAGAAGACCGGUGGCGAAGGCGGUCUGCUGGCGAGUACCUGACUCUGAUGCGCGACAGCGUGGGGAGCAAACAGG